AGGUCUUGACAUCUUGCGCCAACCCUAGAGAUAGGGCGUUUCCUUCGGGAACGCAAUGACAGGUGGUGCAUGGUCGUCGUCAGCUCGUGUCGUGAGAUGUUGGGUUAAGUCCCGCAACGAGCGCAACCCUUGUUACUAGUUGCCAGCAUUAAGUUGGGCACUCUAGUGAGACUGCCGGUGACAAACCGGAGGAAGGUGGGGACGACGUCAGAUCAUCAUGCCCCUUAUGACCUGGGCUACACACGUGCUACAAUGGACGGUACAACGAGUCGCGAACUCGCGAGGGCAAGCAAAUCUCUUAAAACCGUUCUCAGUUCGGACUGCAGGCUGCAACUCGCCUGCACGAAGUCGGAAUCGCUAGUAAUCGCGGAUCAGCAUGCCGCGGUGAAUACGUUCCCGGGCCUU
This 405-nucleotide ribosomal RNA is filed under the name uncultured Lactobacillus sp. Its description in RNAcentral is "bacterial SSU rRNA". It matches the Rfam family "Bacterial small subunit ribosomal RNA", at positions 976 to 1382 of the family's 1533-position model. The record is from RNAcentral. Lineage: Bacteria; Bacillati; Bacillota; Bacilli; Lactobacillales; Lactobacillaceae.